Molecule: long non-coding RNA, 900 nt
Organism: Stegastes partitus (bicolor damselfish)
Lineage: Eukaryota; Metazoa; Chordata; Actinopteri; Pomacentridae
Exons: 4
Source: RefSeq, a predicted model, not a curated record
AGGUUUGAGUUGUUGAAUAAAAAAUUGAAUGACCUGUUUGUCACUCAUUGUUAGUUACAUAGUUUAACUAUGAAGUUAUAAGGUCCCAUUUUAGGAUGUAGAGUUCAAAAAGUUCAAAGGUUGGUCGAUUGCCAACCCACAUUCACACAAAGAGGUGAGAUCAGUGCAGGUUCACUGUCAAUGCACAGUGAGAGGUAUCACUUCUAAUGAAUGCUUUGCUACUGGCCACGAACAACCUUGGUUUGUCUGGAAGACACUGAACUAUCUGCAGGGUGGUGAAGGACGAUGUAAGGUUUCCAUGAGCAAGUGGAAAAUCUCAACCACUGAUGCUUGUGUAUGUGGGGAGGUCCAGACCAUGGAACAUCCCAUGAGAUGUGGUAGUGCUCCACAAUGUACUGGAGAUGACCUAUAGCCAUGCCAAAUGCCACUGCAAUCGCCUGUGCCUGCCGCUGGAAGGACGCAAUAUAGAAGACGGACGGACACAAGGAAGAAGAACUGGAUUGUAUAUCUCUAAAAACUACAAGUCUUAUGGGGAACUCUUGGUCCAAGGACGGACAGACUGUGAACCAGUGACAGGAGGAUAAGCUUUCCUAAGUCUGAUCUGCAGCAGCACCAACUCUCAACUUUCAGAAUUUAAAGGAUCUGCUGCCUAACAUCUUGAUGCUUAAUACCACAGGACAACAACAGAGGUUUGUGGAAUCCAUGUCUCUGGCAGGUCAAAACUGUUUUGAUAGCACGUGAAUGACCAUCAGCAGUUGGUCAAAAUAUGUGGCUCAUUAGGCAAGGAGAAAUCAUAGGCAAUCUUUGCAAUUUAAGUGUUUGGGGUUUUUUUUAGAAUUUUUUUAAACAUCUCUCAGGCAUGACAGUAGUUUCUGAAACUUCUGCUGCUUUCAAAAUUGU